CGUACAUGCAUGCAUGUGGGUGUUGAGAGUAAAAAUCCCUCGAUGCCGAGAAGCCACACAGGCGUGGACCUGCUUCGUCAAGCAGAAAGCGGGAGAGUGACGUGAUGUCACGCAGAGCUUGGUCCUGCUGGAGAUUUGGGGAAGUCUCAAGGAAAGUCCAGAAUUGGCUAGUUGGAUGAAGUAUGCCUGAGCUGAGGCUUGAAUGCUUUUGAAAAUCAGCAAACACAACUACAGUCUCCACGAUAUAAACCAAUCUGCUGGACCACUUCCGAUUUCAGCUCUGACACAUGAAGAGCUUGGAAGUCAUCAUUCCCAUCCUUCACAAAAAGUAAAAACCAAACAAACUGAGAAUUGAUGACUUUUCCUGGGUCCCUCAGAGAAUAAAGGUUUCAGGCAAACUGCCACCUUGACAUCUGGAGACAGAGGAAAAUCCAAAGAGACAUAGCCAAGAUCCGUUUACCAGAACCUGAAGACAACAGAACGAUCAACUAGUAGAAAAACUUAAAUAAUAAUUUUGAUGACUUGCUGGAGGCAGAGUGUGAAUUUGCCUGAGAGUGAGAGACCUGGUAUUUGGUGACUACAGCAUACAGGGCUUUGUCUGGGGGCUAUCAUUUUCCACUGUUGUGCAAAGCCCAGACUGCAUCCUCUAGGAUAAGCACCUAAGUGAGGAGGAACCCUGGGCCCCUAGGUGAUGACCAUGCC
RNAcentral lists this long non-coding RNA (702 nucleotides) under Pongo abelii (Sumatran orangutan). RNAcentral describes it as "lincRNA". The record is from RNAcentral. Lineage: Eukaryota; Metazoa; Chordata; Mammalia; Primates; Hominidae.